UUAGAGUUUGAUCCUGGCUCAGGACGAACGCUGGCGGCGUGCUUAACACAUGCAAGUCGAGCGGUAAGGCCUUUCGGGGUACACGAGCGGCGAACGGGUGAGUAACACGUGGGUGAUCUGCCCUGCACUUCGGGAUAAGCCUGGGAAACUGGGUCUAAUACCGGAUAUGACCUCAGGUUGCAUGACUUGGGGUGGAAAGAUUUAUCGGUGCAGGAUGGGCCCGCGGCCUAUCAGCUUGUUGGUGGGGUAAUGGCCUACCAAGGCGACGACGGGUAGCCGACCUGAGAGGGUGACCGGCCACACUGGGACUGAGACACGGCCCAGACUCCUACGGGAGGCAGCAGUGGGGAAUAUUGCACAAUGGGCGAAAGCCUGAUGCAGCGACGCCGCGUGAGGGAUGACGGCCUUCGGGUUGUAAACCUCUUUCAGCAGGGACGAAGCGCAAGUGACGGUACCUGCAGAAGAAGCACCGGCUAACUACGUGCCAGCAGCCGCGGUACGCC
RNAcentral lists this ribosomal RNA (503 nucleotides) under uncultured bacterium. RNAcentral describes it as "bacterial SSU rRNA". It matches the Rfam family "Bacterial small subunit ribosomal RNA", at positions 1 to 526 of the family's 1533-position model. The record is from RNAcentral.